UAUUUUUUGUUAUUAUUAAGUUUACUAUUUUGGCAAAAAAAUGUAAUGAUUUUAGAAUUCAUAAAUAU
This 68-nucleotide transfer RNA is filed under the name Apocheima cinerarius. Its description in RNAcentral is "tRNA-Leu". Lineage: Eukaryota; Metazoa; Arthropoda; Insecta; Lepidoptera; Geometridae. The record is from RNAcentral.